Molecule: ribosomal RNA, 443 nt
Filed under: uncultured bacterium
Lineage: Bacteria
Description: bacterial SSU rRNA
Rfam family: Bacterial small subunit ribosomal RNA
Source: RNAcentral
AGCGAACGCUGGCGGCAGGCUUAACACAUGCAAGUCGAACGGGCACUUCGGUGCUAGUGGCAGACGGGUGAGUAACACGUGGGAACGUACCUUUCGGUUCGGAAUAAUACAGGGAAACUUGUACUAAUACCGGAUACGCCCUUCGGGGAAGGAUUUAUCGCCGAUAGAUCGGCCCGCGUCUGAUUAGCUAGUUGGUGAGGUAAUGGCUCACCAAGGCGACGAUCAGUAGCUGGUCUGAGAGGAUGAUCAGCCACACUGGGACUGAGACACGGCCCAGACUCCUACGGGAGGCAGCAGUGGGGAAUAUUGGACAAUGGGCGAAAGCCUGAUCCAGCCAUGCCGCGUGUGUGAUGAAGGCCUUAGGGUUGUAAAGCACUUUUGUCCGGGAAGAUAAUGACUGUACCGGAAGAAUAAGCCCCGGCUAACUUCGUGCCAGCAGCCGC